GACACAUCCUGUCAGAUGACCUGAUUUAAGAGCACAGGCUAAAAAGAUCUAGAUCUUGAAAAGUCUUUUUUUUUGGCAGUGUGGUAGGGUUUUUUGUGUUUUUUUAAGGGAAUCUUAGGGCUUAAUACUUUAAUGUUUUGGGAGAGUCUCCUGAAAAGUAAUUACUGAAUCCCUUCAGGACAGGGACCUGCCUUCUCUUUUUGUGCAAAGUGUUGUGCCCGUGGGUGGUACUAUGUAAUGAUAUAUAUUAUAAUAAUGAACAAUAAGACCAAAAUCCAUCCACCGGCUGAAGCUGUGCUUUAGCAAAGCCCUCCCAAAGGAGAAUGCUCCAAAUCCCUCACAGUGGCAGAAGAGGGGGAGGGGAAACUUGGCAGUUGGUGGCAGUUGGUCUGAAAAAUGGCAGCUCUUUUGUGAGAGAAAAAAGGGUUACAGGCUGACCCACCAACCUAUUUCUAUGACUCAAAGGGGGAAAGGAUAUAUUAGCAAAGCAACACGACUGGCAGUUGUGAUGAAGAAUAUUCAAGCAAAGACCCAUCAAAGACCCAAGCAAAGACCCAUCAAAGACCCAUCAAUCAAUCAAGCAAAGACCCAUCAAGCAAAGACCCAUCAAGCAAAGACCCAUCAAAAUAUCUUAUUAAAAUUAUAUCAAAACAGCAGAAAUUUUGGGUUAAAAAAUCACCUCAGCUAUUGCCCUUUAAGAUAUUAUACGACAAAUAUGAAUAUGAUAUUACUGUAAACUACCUAGACUACCUAGUGAGUUUGGGGCAGUUUAUAAAAAUGUUAAAGAAAUAAAUAAAAUAAAUAAAUACCUACCAAUUA
Long non-coding RNA from Hemicordylus capensis (graceful crag lizard), 819 nucleotides. RefSeq lists it as uncharacterized. The transcript has 2 exons. Lineage: Eukaryota; Metazoa; Chordata; Lepidosauria; Squamata; Cordylidae. The record is from RefSeq and is a predicted model, not a curated record.